RNAcentral lists this unclassified non-coding RNA (4248 nucleotides) under Hevea brasiliensis (rubber tree). Lineage: Eukaryota; Viridiplantae; Streptophyta; Magnoliopsida; Malpighiales; Euphorbiaceae. The record is from RNAcentral.
CAAGUUUAUUAAAUUGUUGUAGGACCUAAACAGUUUGCCUGCCAGCUUGGCCAACUAUAAAAUGUCUACAUUUAUAGUUUUGGAAAUUUUACUAAAAAAUCAGCAUCCUCCAAAUACAGGGCUUAACUGAUAAAGGAAGUCCAACAUAAGAACCAAAACAGAAGCAGAAAUGCCUAUCACAUAAUCAAGAAACAUCUAAUAAUGAAGUCCUACGGCAGACUAAAAAUAGAAUAAACAUGAAAUUAGCACAUUUAAUCAUACAAUGGUGCUACGUUUCACACCAUAACAAGCAUAAUAAAAUAUAUUCUGCUUGGGGCUUAACAAGAUUUUACUUGAGAAACGAAACACAACAGCAUGAGGUCGAUCGAGAACAGAUAAAAUCUUUGUAACAUAGGAAUAAGCUGAAACUUGCUAGUUUGGACUACAAAUACCAAAGCAUGGACCAUUCAGAUUUGGGAACACUAAUGGUUAUUGCCAUCUUUGUCUGGUGAGGGAUCCAAUGUUGGUUUCUUCAUUGGGCUUGAUUCUGCUGAACCUGUACUCAUCGACACUCGCUUGACUCCUCUUCCCACAACGCCAAGAUCAGUUACCGCAGCCCCAUUUGUGUGAGCAGUGGAAACAGUUGGAGAGUCAAAACCUCCACUGCUGUUAGCAGUAGCCAUCUGUGAAGAAUUUAUGACAGCGGGAGCUGCACUUUUCUCACCACUUCUUGCCUUGGCAGCUGCUAUUCCCAGGAUUUCAGAAAGAAUUGAUUUUGGGUUCAGGGCCAACUGUUGAAGAUCUUCAAGCUUCUUUUCCAGCUCUCCAGACAGGCCAGUAAGUGUUUCAAUCUCUGAUUCUUUAUCUCUAACACCUUUAUCACUCUGCAAGUCAUUGGAUGACUGCUGGACACCCUCAUCUAGUUCAGAAACAGCUGAUGACAUUGCUGAUUCAGAGGAACUCUUUACUUCAUUCACAAGCAGCUGCAGCCUUGACUUGCAAAUUGAUAUAGCUUUCUGGCAAUAUGGCAUUGCUUCCUGAGGCUUAGAGCCAAUCUCCAAACACAAACAUAUACGGAAAUUUCUGAACUACAGUUAAGGUGUGACAAAGAAAAGGCUGAACAAAAUUUUAGAACUGAACAAAUAGAAAUUCAUUAGCAAUUGAUGAUACUAAUCAUCCCAAAUUAGGGAAGUAUUUAAACCUUAAAGAGGAUGCAGUUCAGCUAUAUGUCUACUGUCUGGUUCAACAAGCCGUUCUAGAAUGGACAAUGCUUUCUGGUAGUCACUGAGAGACGUUUCAAUGUCCUCUCUUUCCAAUGCAACUUCUGCCAAUGCUGAUAGCACAUCCACUUUAUCCAUUGUGUCACCCGAGUGUUUUUCAGCAAUUGCCCUGGCAACAUCUAGCAUUUUCCAAGCCAAGUCAAGGUCAGACUCAUCUUCAUCUGCUUCUGCCAAGUCUUCAUCAUCACUAUCCUCACCAUCUUCUUCCUGAUCUUUGUCACCAGAUGCAUCAUCUGCUGCUCCUUCUUGAUGAUUUGAAUUGCCCUUCCCAUCCUCUUCCUUCCCAUCCUCUUCUACAUUACUCAAAACGGAAGCAGUAGAAGAUUCUCCAUUUAUGGCAUUUUUAACAGAUCCAUCUUUAUCAGAGUCUUGUUUAAAUUCACCAUCCUUCUUGGGUACUGUAGCCAGUGGAUCGGCUUCUUCUUGAGCUUUGCACAAUAGUGCACGUCCAUAUUGGUAGUAUGCAUUUAGGCAUUCAAGGGCAAGUUCACCAUAGUGUGAAACACUGAUUUCUAGGGCACGGCUGAAGCAAUCGGCGGCCUCGCCAUAAUCACUUUCCUUAAGAGCUUUGGUUCCUCUCUCAGACAACUCAGCAGCGAACCCUAGUGACUUCUCUUGAUCUCCAUUGGAAGUAAGGAUAGAAUCUUCACCGCUGUUGCUGAUGUUAUUGCAAGUGGAGUCAGCACCUUCCUGCGCGUUUGACUCGAUGGUGGCCUCGUUAGAGAUUUGGGUUUCCACCGCCCUAGAGGCCUCGGCGACGGUUUGCUCAGUCAUUGUCACUGAUGAUUCCGAUAUCACAGCUUCGUCUUCCGCCAUUGUUUAGGUCAGGGUUUUGGAAAAUGAAAAAGGGCAAUGGGACACGGUAAGGGUUUGGUCUAUUCGAUUUAGCGCUUCAAAACCCCUCUUUCUGGCGGAAAAAAAUUGGAUAAAACGAGGGAAAAUAUAUGGAAACGCAGAAGCCAUACGACAGCGUUUCCUUAAUAGUCUAAAUGACCGUAUUGCCCAUCUGCAAAUGCAGGGAACCACAGGCCACAUAUAUUCAUUUCUCUUUCAUACAGAUAAUCCUCCAUUCCUCCUGCUGUAGAAUCAAUGGCUUCCACAAUCUCUCCGCCUAUUCUCCAAGCUCUCUCUCUUCACCGUGCGCGCAAUGCGCACCCCCCAUCUUGCAAGGCGCACGGUCCGAAAUCUCUACCGGCAUCUUUCGCCAGCAGGAGGCAGUUGCUCUUCCUUCUAACGGCAGCACCGGCAUUGACGGUCAGAGAAUUGGCGUCGCUUGCGGAGGAUAUUCCACUGUUCGGACUAAAGAAGAAGCUGAAGAAAGCGGAGGAGAAGGCAGAGGAGCUUGUGAAGGAAGGAUUCGAGGCAGCAGAGAAGGGACUUGAAACGGCGGAGAAAGGAAUAGCAACAGUAGAGAGAGAGAUUGAAACGGCGGAAAAAGGGAUCAAAACGGCUGAGAGAGAAAUAGAAGAGGCAGUGAGCUUCGGAGGGCUGGCACAAGCGGGCGCGGUGGCGGGAGCGGAAGUUGUGGGCGUUUUAGUGGCUACUUCCAUAGUAAAUGGGAUUUUGGGGCCUGAAGCUGAAGGUCAAAAAUCAUGAUUUAGUCGGUGAUAGUCUGAUGUUUAAAGAGCUUUUUCUGAUAUGAGAGAUGUAAAUUCCAAUUUCUAAUCAACUUCAUUCUCUGUUAAAUUUCAGAACGUAUUAAAUAAAAGUAAUGAUUUCUUUGGUACAACUGAGGCUGUGACGUUAGUUCGAGGCACACUUCAAUAAUAUCAACAGGAUUUACAGAGUAAUGCAAGCACAUUUAAUAGUUCUUACAUUUUCAUCAUACGUCGUCAGGUGUUAGAAGACAAAGGAAAACCUUAUCAUUCGUUGAGAACAAAGGACAAGGUUUUUUAACUAGCAUUUUUCUGAUUACCGAGCGCUGGUCUCUGUCAAAUCUCUGCAUUUUGUCUAGCUUUCAUAGCGAACUCAAGUACAGUACCCCGCCACAAGGAGGAAACUCUAUCUCCAUGGCUUGUGUGGCUUCAAACCCCUUCGGCCUCCAUAGGUUCCGGCCAUAUUUUCGGGAAGCUUAACCUCCACCGCCUCUCAUCCAACUACGGAACCAAGCCUUGUAGAUUCCCAACCGUAGUAGCUUGUCAAAAAGACCUCAAUCCCACAGAAAUCUCCACCAAGGAAAAUGUCCUUGUUGAGCCUGCUUCAGUAACCGAUACUUAAAGCGAUUGUUCAACUUUGUCGCCGGGUUCUGGAUCACCUGAAUUUCCAAAUAAAGAUGUAAAUAAACGAAUAGCUGUGGUUUCUGUGCUUGCGGGAAUGGGACUUUUCUUAUCGGCGCGGCUGGAUUUCCGGGUUUCUCUAAGGACCUCUCUGCUGCUGCUCUACCGUAUGAAGAGGUUUCUAUCUAUUCUUUCUUUGUUAAAGCGCUUGUUUAUCUGGCUUUUUAUUUAUAUAUAACUGAGCAAUUAUGUCAUCAAUAUAGCAGAAGUUGAUCCCAUGCAGCAUAAUAUCUUUUGCUCAGUCUCAAAACACAAAAUAAAACACAUCAGAACAAAUUGCUUUCCAGCAUUUCGAGAUCAUUUUUUAUCUUCGAAGGAAAGAAAUCUUCAUAGAUGACAGGAUUGUGAGAAUCGUUGUGUUACGACCUGAUCAAUUCAACCUAGGAGAGUGUUUGGAAGAAGAGAAAGGAAGGGAAAGUAGAAAAGAAAAUAGAGCGAGAGGACGAGAGAUGGCGAGAGAGAAAAAGAACCUGUCUAGAAGAAAGAAAGAGAGAUAAAGAAAAUGACUGUAUUUCAUCAAUCUUUUUAUGAAAUUCAAUUGUACCGCAUCAAUAAACAGGAAGCGUAUCCAUUCAACAAAGAGUGAUGCUCAGGCCAGUUAUUGCCACGAUGUAAAACCCUUGGAAAAGUGAGAGCUUGCAGCAUAGAUCGCCAAAGGCCAAGGGUAUUUUUUUUUUUUCAUCUUGAAAUCCUUAAUUAAUGAGAACAAAAUU